UACGGAGGGUGCGAGCGUUAAUCGGAAUUACUGGGCGUAAAGUGCGCGUAGGUGGCUUGAUAAGCCGGUUGUGAAAGCCCCGGGCUCAACCUGGGAACGGCAUCCGGAACUGUCAAGCUAGAGUGCAGGAGAGGAAGGUAGAAUUCCCGGUGUAGCGGUGAAAAGCGUAGAGAUCGGGAGGAAUACCAGUGGCGAAGGCGGCCUUCUGGACUGACACUGACACUGAGGUGCGAAAGCGUGGGUAGCAAACAGG
Molecule: ribosomal RNA, 253 nt
Filed under: uncultured bacterium
Lineage: Bacteria
Description: partial 16S ribosomal RNA
Rfam family: Bacterial small subunit ribosomal RNA
Source: RNAcentral